AUCACAGACCCGAUGCAGCGA
RNAcentral lists this microRNA (21 nucleotides) under Brugia malayi. Its description in RNAcentral is "bma-miR-2b-3p". Its record names the gene bma-miR-2b-3p. The record is from miRBase by way of RNAcentral. Lineage: Eukaryota; Metazoa; Nematoda; Chromadorea; Rhabditida; Onchocercidae.